This 253-nucleotide ribosomal RNA is filed under the name uncultured bacterium. Its description in RNAcentral is "partial 16S ribosomal RNA". It matches the Rfam family "Bacterial small subunit ribosomal RNA", at positions 524 to 776 of the family's 1533-position model. The record is from RNAcentral.
UACAGAGGUCCCAAGCGUUGUUCGGAUUCACUGGGCGUAAAGGGUGCGUAGGUGGCCGGGUAAGUUUGAUGUGAAAGCUCGGAGCUUAACUCCGAAACUGCAUUUGAUACUGCGGUGCUUGAGGACUGGAGAGGAGACUGGAAUUUACGGUGUAGCAGUGAAAUGCGUAGAGAUCGUAAGGAAGACCAGUGGCGAAGGCGGGUCUCUGGACAGUUCCUGACACUGAGGCACGAAGGCCAGGGGAGCAAACGGG